AAAGACACCACCAGGAAGGGAGAAUGUAAAAGCAAAGUGAGCAGAAGCUCAAAUCUGGAGGAGAUGAUGGUAUAGAGGAUUCGGGGGCACUCUUAAACCUCUGUCUCAUGUACUAAUUUGCAUUCAGUCCACUCUGCUUUGACAUGAAGAUCUUUGCCCUGGCCAUGCAGGUACCAGGUUCUUAAGGGGCUCCUGGCCAGGUAGCUGGAAACAUAGGUUCUCUCUCCAGGCACCAUGAUGACCUCCUUGACAAUGACCCUUGGCAAUUUCAGUGGACUCUGAAAAGCCCAUCCCCCUGGCCCCAGGAGCUAGAGAGGGAGAAACCAGGAUGCUGUAACUGGAAAUGCAACAACACACUUUGGGCAAGAAGAAGAUGGAAUCUGGGGGAGGAUCCACGGAUUUCAGUGCCCACACAAUCCCCAUCCCCCAGGCCAAGGGCCUGUUUCACUGGGUCACAAACACCCUUCCACCAAUACAGGACUUAGUUGAACCUCCCAGAAGAAAAACAAAAACAAAAAUACCUUCUUCCCCCAUCCAAAAGAAAAGCUAGAUUUUUAGCCAUGUUACAUCCAUAGAGAAAUUUCUUCAGAGUAUGAGGUCUUUUACCCUAUGGUUAACGUCAACAAGUACUUACGUCAAGUUAGAUAGAUGGAUGGUUACAUAGAUAGAUGAUAGAUGAUAAAUAGAUAGAUAGAUGAUAGAUGAUAGAUAAAUGAUGGAAUGGAUGGAAGUCCUGAUUUUUAACUGAAAAUGUUGGAAGUUGGAUUUGAUGCUGAAACCUUCAACUGCAAGACCCUCAAAUAUAUCAAGCAUGUCUCUCAUGGAUAAAUUUAAAAGUGUAGCCACAAAACCAUUAAACACACCAGAGCCUUUAUAUAAACACAUUGUUAGUUUCUUGAUAACCAUAACCUUCAAGGAGGAAUCAGGCAAGAGUCUUGUUACCAUGUCAGAGCUCCAGCCCCAGCACAGAUUCCAUUUGUUCUAUGCUCCCAGGAUCUCCUGGCGACCCAUAAAGACAAAGGGAAGCAGUAGAGUGAUGAGACAAAGCUGACUGCUCAGGUUUUAAGGAUGGGAAGAUUUAAGAGAGGCAGGC
Hippopotamus amphibius kiboko is the source of this 1093-nucleotide long non-coding RNA. RefSeq lists it as uncharacterized. The transcript has 3 exons. NCBI's taxonomy places the organism in Eukaryota, Metazoa, Chordata, Mammalia, Artiodactyla, Hippopotamidae. The record is from RefSeq and is a predicted model, not a curated record.